Molecule: long non-coding RNA, 485 nt
Organism: Maylandia zebra (zebra mbuna)
Lineage: Eukaryota; Metazoa; Chordata; Actinopteri; Cichliformes; Cichlidae
Source: RefSeq, a predicted model, not a curated record
UGGGUGGCCAAGAUGUUGAUAAAAGUAAAACACAGAGAGACAAAGAAAUAUGCAAAAUUGGAAGAAGUCAGCUUCACAGAUUUUGUGAGAGCAGGUAAGUUAUGGUUUGUACUAAGUCAUUAAAGAGGAAAUGAUAAUGUUGUUAGUAACUGAGUGAUGAUUUUACUUCAGUACAGCAGAAGUUUCUCAUACCAGAAAAUGCAGCACUGAAAGUCACGGAUGAGCAGGGUAUAGAGGUGGAUGAGGAUGUCUUUCCUGCACUUGCAGCAGGCAAAGAGGUGUGUUUUGUCAUCUAUACAGCUGAAGACAUCCUGGAAACACAAUCAUCCAAGAAGCUGCGCGACUGCUCACACCUAACACACUAUGUGACACUCACACCUUGUGAUUUGACUGUCCUGAAGCAACAUGUGGAAGAGUCCUCCUCUCCAAGUCUAACAGAUACAUUGUCUGUCUCAACCACCGGCAGUCAGAGCAGUGACACAAGU